Vidua chalybeata is the source of this 391-nucleotide long non-coding RNA. RefSeq lists it as uncharacterized. Lineage: Eukaryota; Metazoa; Chordata; Aves; Passeriformes; Viduidae. The record is from RefSeq and is a predicted model, not a curated record. The transcript has 3 exons.
CAUCGCUACCUUUGUGCUGUUAUUCAGCACUGAGCUUGGCACAGGGUACCUGCAGCAUCUGGCACGUUUCUCCCACCCCUGUUCAGGCUCCUCAUGUGCUCUCCUCUGCUCCCAACCACUGGGGUAGCUGCUGUGCCCAAACACUAAAGGAGAAAGUGUCUAAACAGGCACAAGAGCUCAGCUCAUCUGAGGUCAUAAACCCCAGAAGUUCUGUGCCACUAAAGACAGCAGCCCGAGAGCCUCCACCAGCGCAGCACGUCAGCAAACACGCGGUGUGCGAUCUUAUCGUUUCCAAAAGUUUGAAGAUUUCACCAUGCAAGUUGAGCAGCCAUGCAAGGCACUUGUGUGACACAAGGCACAAACAACAGCAGCUCUCUGCCAUCACGUCCUC